AAGUCGUAACAAGGUUUCCGUAGGUGAACCUGCGGAAGGAUCAUUAACGAGUUUUGAAGUGGGCUUGAUGCUGGCUCGUAACAGAGCACUGUGCUCAGCCCCGCUCCAAUCCAUUCAACCCCUGUGCACUAUUCGGAGUGUUGCAAGCUGAGACAAUGUGGGAUCAGUUGUGUUUCUAAUGCGACUGGGACCAAACGGUCAAGGCUUGUCCUCCGGUUUAUAUUACAAACACUUUUAUUGUCUUGUAGAAUGUAUUAGCCUCUUGUUAGGCGAAACUUAAAUACAACUUUCAACAACGGAUCUCUUGGCUCUC
This 313-nucleotide unclassified non-coding RNA is filed under the name Pallidohirschioporus biformis. RNAcentral describes it as "Trichaptum biforme partial internal transcribed spacer region". The stretch from base 1 to 46 matches the Rfam family "Eukaryotic small subunit ribosomal RNA", at positions 1786 to 1831 of the family's 1831-position model. The record is from RNAcentral. Lineage: Eukaryota; Fungi; Basidiomycota; Agaricomycetes; Hymenochaetales; Hirschioporaceae.